GACAGAGGGGGCAAGCGUUGCUCGGAAUUACUGGGCGUAAAGGGCUCGUAGGUGGCCAACUAAGUCAGACGUGAAAUCCCUCGGCUUAACCGGGGAACUGCGUCUGAUACUGGAUGGCUUGAGUUUGGGAGAGGAAUGCGGAAUUCCAGGUGUAGCGGUGAAAUGCGUAGAUAUCUGGAGGAACACCGGUGGCGAAGGCGGCAUCCUGGACCGGUAUUGACGCUGAGGCGCGAAAGCCAGGGGAGCAAACGGG
This 253-nucleotide ribosomal RNA is filed under the name uncultured bacterium. RNAcentral describes it as "partial 16S ribosomal RNA". It matches the Rfam family "Bacterial small subunit ribosomal RNA", at positions 524 to 776 of the family's 1533-position model. The record is from RNAcentral.